GACGAACGCUGGCGGCGUGCUUAAAACAUGCAAGUCGAGCGGAGCGGCGAACGGGUGAGUAACGCGUGAGUAACUGCCCCCCUCUCUGGGAUAACAGUUGGAAACGGCUGCUAAUACCGGAUAGUGGGGGAUGACUCGCGGCCUAUCAGCUUGUUGGUGGGGUAGUGGCCUACCAAGGCGACGACGGGUAGCCGGCCUGAGAGGGCGACCGGCCACAUUAGGCUGAGAUACGGACCAAACUCCUACGGGAGGCAAGCGUGGGGAAUAUUGCACAGUAGGGGAGACCCUGAUGCAGCGACGCCGCGUGCGGAAUGACGGCCUUCGUGUUGUGAACCGCUUUCAGCCAAGACGCGGUAGUGGCAGAAGAAGCACCGGCUAACUACGUGCCAGCAGCCGCGGUAAUUC
This 405-nucleotide ribosomal RNA is filed under the name uncultured bacterium. RNAcentral describes it as "partial 16S ribosomal RNA". It matches the Rfam family "Bacterial small subunit ribosomal RNA", at positions 28 to 526 of the family's 1533-position model. The record is from RNAcentral.